GGAAAAGCUUCAAAAAAAUAAUUUUUUUCAAAUUAAAUUUUUUUAAUUUUUUAAUAAAAUUAAAAUAAUUUUUUAAUUUUUUAUCAAAUAUUAAUAUAAUAUCUUAAAAUAUUUUUUGAGAGUCAGAAAAUAUUUUUUAAUAUUUUAAAAUUUUAAUCAUAUAGGAUCUAAGUUUUUAUGCAGAACUUUGCUUUGGUACCGUUGAUACGAAAUCAAGUUGAAGCA
Molecule: long non-coding RNA, 225 nt
Filed under: Elaeis guineensis (African oil palm)
Lineage: Eukaryota; Viridiplantae; Streptophyta; Magnoliopsida; Arecales; Arecaceae
Description: long non-coding RNA (EGUI_LNC019443)
Source: RNAcentral